Microplitis demolitor is the source of this 2124-nucleotide long non-coding RNA. RefSeq lists it as uncharacterized. The transcript is spliced from 5 exons. The record is from RefSeq and is a predicted model, not a curated record. Lineage: Eukaryota; Metazoa; Arthropoda; Insecta; Hymenoptera; Braconidae.
GAGUUUUAAACUAGCGGCAUCACGUGGAAGAUUUUUUAAUUUCUCAAGACUGCAAGGAAUUUCUUUAUCAAUGUAUAGUAAAUUUAAGGCGAAUUCAAACGAUGGUGGAGGUUUACUAGAGCCGAAGGCGAAGGCUGCUGUCACAUCAGAUAUAAAAGUCAUUAGUUUUUCUUAAAAUAAAUGUAAAUAAAUCUACUCAUUAAUUUUUCAUUAAUUUAAAAAAUUAUAUUUGCAAAAAUAAAAUAAUGUAAAAAGUAAUUGAGGAUAGGAAUGACAAAUAAUAAAUAAUUAAUGAUUUGCAUUGAAAGGAUCGGGUCCAUUAUCCUGAAUGAGACUUUUGUCAUUAAAAAAUUACUAUUGACAAUUGAAUAUCUGUAUGGUUAUGUCUAGCGGAUCAAAUUACGGUAUUUAUGGUUUUUAAAUAAAAAUUUCCCGCAUUUUAUGCUAAUUUGCGGAAAAUUAUGGGUUUUCACGGUAACAAAGUGCAACACUUUACUACUUUAUGGUAAAAUGCCGUAAUAUUGCAUCAAAUCUGCACGUUUGCGGUGAAAUACCGCAUUUCGGAUCCGCCAGGAAGUGCGAACAUAAUCCAGGAAAAUCAGAAUAGCAGAUACCCAACGCUUCGAGUUUUCAACAACGAAAUAUUGACAUCUCACCUCUGGCUUCACUAAACUCUCCAGAUUUGUCGGCGAAGUCUUCAUCUUCAUCAGCACUUAUUUUAUUUAAUAAUAAUUAUUUAUUUAAAUAAAGUAAUUAUACAGUAAAUCCGUAUUUUUACCGUUAAUUAACAAUACAAGUUAAUUAGAUAAAUAAUUAAGCUGUUGAUUUUUUUACAGAAGCCGGCAGUCGUUCGAUACCCACACAAUGAUGCAAUAAUUAAUUCAAAUUUAAAGAAAUAAUCACCGCCAAUUAUAACAGUAAGUAAUUUAUUUAUUUAUUUAAUUAGUCAAUAUGACUCAGGUAAAUAUGAAGAUAAAUAAAUAUUUUAAAUAAUUGUGAUAAAAGUCGAUUUUAAAUUAUCGAUACGAUGUAAAUAUGUAGAAAGACCAACGGUGACUGCGAUGUGUGAAGCUAAAAGGCGCCUGCUCUACCUAACCACCUCCAGUUAAAAUUCCUUCCAUGAAGAGGAGAAAUAUAUCAAGUGGGGGCAUAGAUCCAAGCAAAGUAAAGCUAUCGACAUACCAGUGGCAUUACUACCAGUUCACAGUAGUAUUUUAGCCAGCACGUAUAUUCCUGUGUACGUAUGACAAUUACACCAAUACAUCAUAACUACACAUAUUGUACUCUUGUGUGCACUCUGGUCUUCAUAAUAUGGGUCCAUUCUGCGCAGAAGCAAUACACUGCUGGAGGCUCGUCCGCUUUCAAGGGCAAAUAAGGUCACAAGACCACCCUCUAUCGCGGGAAAUACCAAAUGUUACAUCAUCAAGCUUUAUUGUAGUUUUUUUUCUUUAAUUAUAUAGGCAGCGAAUGUAUUAAUGGGUUUGACAGCGGAUUGUAUCAACCUGGAAAUACUGGGGUAAUUUGAUCCUCAUCGCGCAACAGAACGAAAGUAUUUCUGCGUAUGAUGCAAAGGUCCUUGGGUAUUACUUUGCUUCUCUUUCUAUAUAUAUGUAUAUAUAUACUUGUUGUAUAAGCAUGAGGAUUAUGCUAAGGAUUGCUAUGUUGAAUAAGCAUUUUUAAACUGGAGGCUCGUCACUGUACGUGUUAAACGUCACGUACCAUUCAUACUUUCUUUUAACGUUAAGUACUUCCAUUAUUGAUUAUAUCUAAUCAAUUUAUAAUUUAUGUUCAUUUAAAAUUUAUGUUCUCAUGCAAUCUGUUAAUAUUUGUUUUAUUAUUUUUUUAUAUCAGACAUUACUUCAAUGCCAUCGAUUCACUUCAGGGCAAUGCCUAAUGCCCUUGAUUGAUGUCAAUUUUUUAAAAAUUAAAUCAUAAAAAAAAUAGUCUAUUAUUAGUAAUUACAUCAUGAUAAAUUUAAUACGUCAUAUUUAAUUAUUUAUUUGUUUCAAGGUCAUGUUUAUUUGAUCACGAACUUUUCUAUGAAUUAACUGACGUAGAAAUUAAGACAUAAUUAAUUUUUUAUUUAAGGAAGAGUAUAAUUUUAUUUUAAAUACAAAUAAGUAA